CCAGAGAUCUGGGCUCUAGUGCACUAUGCCAAUUGGGUGUCCACACUAAGUUCGGCACAAAUAUGGCGACCUCCAGGUUGCCUAAGGAGGGGUGAACUGGCUCAAGUCAGAAAAAACAAGUCAAAACUCCUGUGCUGAUCAGUAGUGGAAUCACACCUGUGAAAAGCCACUAUGCUCCAGUCUGG
Unclassified non-coding RNA from Papio anubis (olive baboon), 185 nucleotides. It matches the Rfam family "Metazoan signal recognition particle RNA". Rfam says of the family: The signal recognition particle (SRP) is a universally conserved ribonucleoprotein. NCBI's taxonomy places the organism in Eukaryota, Metazoa, Chordata, Mammalia, Primates, Cercopithecidae. The record is from Ensembl.